This 433-nucleotide ribosomal RNA is filed under the name uncultured bacterium. RNAcentral describes it as "partial 16S ribosomal RNA". It matches the Rfam family "Bacterial small subunit ribosomal RNA", at positions 29 to 507 of the family's 1533-position model. The record is from RNAcentral.
AACGAACGCUGGCGGCAUGCCUAACACAUGCGAGUCGAACGAGACCUUCGGGUCUAGUGGCGCACGGGUGCGUAACGCGUGGGAACCUGCCCUUAGGUUCGGAAUAACUCCCCGAAAGGGGUGCUAAUACCGGAUAAUGUCUUCGGAACAAAUAUUUAUCGCCUUUGGAUGGGCCCGCGUUGGAUUAGCUAGUUGGUAGGGUAAAAGCCUACCAAGGCGACGAUCCAUAGCUGGUCUGAGAGGAUGAUCAGCCACACUGGGACUGAGACACGGCCCAGACUCCUACGGGAGGCAGCAGUGGGGAAUAUUGGACAAUGGGCGAAAGCCUGAUCCAGCAAUGCCGCGUGAGUGAUGAAGGCCUUAGGGUUGUAAAGCUCUUUUACCCGGGAUGAUAAUGACAGUACCGGGAGAAUAAGCUCCGGCUAACUCCGUG